GCCGGAAUGACGGUGGAAUUGACGUGCGAAUCUCACGCCGGCAAACCACCCGCCGAAGUAAGUACCGUUCUUUUGACUCGGACGGCAAACUAUUUAUCCAAGACGCCCGCCUCGAAUGUUCCAGAUGUGGCGCGCAAUUUUCCCUCAGCCAAAAAUGGCCGGCCCGAAUAUCCCGGAUAAAUUCGAGUAUUCUGGCGUCUUGGGCAAUAGUGGUCGGUCCCCGGUUUUCCGUUUAUUAGAGGUGAUAUACAAUAGUGUAGCGUUUGAUGGAAGGAGAAAAUCUUUGCUCGACAUACAAAGUACAACGUAUCGGCGGGACGCACCGUACCGUGUUGGAUCGAACGAAUACGGUCUACUUCGGUAAGCCAAUGCUAGAUAGCGUGGCGGCAGAAAGUUGGCCCACUGGUCGGGGAACGACUACACGCAUUUUGGGAAAAGGUAGCGGAGACAAUUCCAGACGCCGAAUAUUUUCUGGUGGUAAAAUGAUUUUCAGUUAUUCGACGGUGGUAGACGGGAACCGUGGUCGACGAAAUAGAUUUGGCGAAUUUAAUUUCAAAAAGCGCAGACGGAUCAGUUUGUCCAAAUUUUUCUGGCGGAUUUUCUUUUUGGUCCAAAUAACUUCCGAAUAGAUCAAAUAUUUUCGGCCGUUGUUUUCGGCUAGGUUAUUUCUUCGACUUUUAGGACACUAGGCUGCCGAUAUUUAGGUUGGUUAAGCCGCCAUAUACUUUGAUAUACUGUAUCUGGCGGCACCAGGGAUAUACUGUACUACUUUAAGCCGCACCAGGGAUACACUGUAUCUGGCGGCGGCCACUUAUACAGCCCAUCACAGGCUAGCCAACACCCGUGAUGGG
RNAcentral lists this long non-coding RNA (851 nucleotides) under Androctonus crassicauda. The record is from RNAcentral. Lineage: Eukaryota; Metazoa; Arthropoda; Arachnida; Scorpiones; Buthidae.